This 403-nucleotide ribosomal RNA is filed under the name uncultured bacterium. RNAcentral's name for it is "bacterial SSU rRNA". It matches the Rfam family "Bacterial small subunit ribosomal RNA", at positions 356 to 773 of the family's 1533-position model. The record is from RNAcentral.
GGGGGAUAUUGCACAAUGGGCGCAAGCCUGAUGCAGCAACGCCGCGUGAGGGAAGAAGGUCUUCGGAUUGUAAACCUCUGUUUUUGGUGACGAAACAAAUGACGGUAGCCAAGGAGAAAGCCACGGCUAACUACGUGCCAGCAGCCGCGGUAAUACGUAGGUGGCAAGCGUUGUCCGGAUUUACUGGGUGUAAAGGGAGCGCAGGCGGGAGAUCAAGUCAGACGUGAAAACUAUGGGCUUAACCCAUAACGUGCGUUUGAAACUGGUUUUCUUGAGUGAAGUAGAGGCAGGCGGAAUUCCGAGUGUAGCGGUGAAAUGCGUAGAUAUUCGGAGGAACACCAGUGGCGAAGGCGGCCUGCUGGGCUUUUACUGACGCUGAGGCUCGAAAGUGUGGGGAGCAAAC